This 393-nucleotide long non-coding RNA is filed under the name Coffea arabica (coffee). RNAcentral's name for it is "long non-coding RNA (CARA_LNC007962)". The record is from RNAcentral. Lineage: Eukaryota; Viridiplantae; Streptophyta; Magnoliopsida; Gentianales; Rubiaceae.
GUCGGGAUCUUGUUAGCUACUACUUCAACGUCUUUAUGCUCAGGAGGCGGGCUGUUCAAAACAGAUCUAAUCUGUUGGAGAUUGACAGUGAUGAUGAUGAGUCACAAGGGAAUGAUGGGGGUUUCUUCAGAGUUGUAGGAGAGGACGAAGAUUCUGUUGUGGAGUCGCUUGGGGAUCAAGAUGUUCAGGAAGGAUCUGAAGAUGAUAUCCCCUCUGAUGAUGAAGAUGAUGCAGGUGAUGAUGAUGAUGAUGAUGAUGAUGAUGAUGAUGACAGUGAUGAUGGCAAUGGUGAUGGUGAAGUUGGUAGGGACGGUGGUGUGGGAGCUGAGAGGGGGGAUGCUAUUGGAAUGGGUGAUCCGAGAGGUCAAAUUCUGAAGCCUCAGAUUGACAUAU